RNAcentral lists this ribosomal RNA (375 nucleotides) under Triticum aestivum (bread wheat). Its description in RNAcentral is "partial small subunit ribosomal RNA". Lineage: Eukaryota; Viridiplantae; Streptophyta; Magnoliopsida; Poales; Poaceae. The record is from RNAcentral.
AUCCACCUAGUCUUCCACGUAUCCCAGCUCAAGCCAUUCACCCCCAACUAUACACCGGUCUUCUCCGAGCUGCCACGACCCCCAGACCUCGCCGGCCAUGACGACGAACCGGUGGAAAUCCUGGAGCGGCGCAUGGUCAAGCGCGGUAACAGCGCCUUAGUGCAGGUUAAGGUGCGCUGGCGCAACAACGAGACAGCGACGACGACGUGGGAGGACUACGACACCCUUAGCCGCCGUUUUCCACAAGCCCCGGCGUGGGACGCACCAUCGGCCGACGACGAGGACCAGCGCGCAGAACCUAAAGACGGCGCCCGUUCUGAAGGAGUGGGGAAUGUCACACCUGCAUCACCAAGAGAUGAUGCGGUGAACGCGUGA